This 2464-nucleotide ribosomal RNA is filed under the name Microbacterium sp. 14-71-5. RNAcentral's name for it is "bacterial LSU rRNA". It matches the Rfam family "Bacterial large subunit ribosomal RNA", at positions 605 to 2925 of the family's 2925-position model. Lineage: Bacteria; Bacillati; Actinomycetota; Actinomycetes; Micrococcales; Microbacteriaceae. The record is from RNAcentral.
CUUUUGAAGAAUGAGCCUGCGAGUUAGCGAUACGUGGCGAGGUUAACCCGUGUGGGGUAGCCGUAGCGAAAGCGAGUCUGAAUAGGGCGAUUCAGUCGCGUGUCCUAGACCCGAAGCGAAGUGAUCUAUCCAUGGCCAGGCUGAAGCGACGGUAAGACGUCGUGGAGGGCCGAACCCACUUAGGUUGAAAACUGAGGGGAUGAGCUGUGGAUAGGGGUGAAAGGCCAAUCAAACUUCGUGAUAGCUGGUUCUCUCCGAAAUGCAUUUAGGUGCAGCGUUGCGUGUUUCUUGCCGGAGGUAGAGCUACUGGAUGGCCGAUGGGCCCUACAAGGUUACUGACGUCAGCCAAACUCCGAAUGCCGGUAAGUGAGAGCGCAGCAGUGAGACUGUGGGGGAUAAGCUUCAUAGUCGAGAGGGAAACAACCCAGACCACCAUCUAAGGUCCCUAAGCGCGUGCUAAGUGGGAAAGGAUGUGGAGUUGCUGUGACAACCAGGAGGUUGGCUUAGAAGCAGCCACCCUUGAAAGAGUGCGUAAUAGCUCACUGGUCAAGUGAUUCCGCGCCGACAAUGUAACGGGGCUCAAGCACGCCACCGAAGUUGUGGCAUUGACAUUUAUGGUAGGCCUUCGUGGUCCAGCCGUGUUGAUGGGUAGGAGAGCGUCGUGUGGCGAGUGAAGCGGCGGAGUGAUCCAGCCGUGGACGCUACACGAGUGAGAAUGCAGGCAUGAGUAGCGAAAGACGUGUGAGAAACACGUCCUCCGGAAGACCAAGGGUUCCAGGGUCAAGCUAAUCUUCCCUGGGUAAGUCGGGACCUAAGGCGAGGCCGACAGGCGUAGUCGAUGGACAACGGGUUGAUAUUCCCGUACCGGCGAAGAACCGCCCAAGCUAAUCCAGUAGUGCUAAGUAUCUGAAUCCCCAUGACCGGAUCCUUCGGGUGAUGGCUUGGGGCCUAGCGUACGACCCCAUUCUGGUGCGGCUAGCGUAUUAACAGGUGUGACGCAGGAAGGUAGCCCAGCCAGGCGAUGGUUGUCCUGGUGCAAGUGCGUAGGCCGAGAGAUAGGCAAAUCCGUCUCUCAUACAGGCUGAGACACGAUGCGGAUGAAAAGUGGGUGAUCCUAUGCUGCCAAGAAAAGCAUCGACGCGAGGUUCUAGCCGCCCGUACCCCAAACCGACUCAGGUGGUCAGGUAGAGAAUACCAAGGAGAUCGAGAGAAUCGUGGUUAAGGAACUCGGCAAAAUGCCCCCGUAACUUCGGGAGAAGGGGGGCCACCCGCUUAUACGGAUUUACUCCGAAAAGGGUGUGGUGGCCGCAGAGACUAGUGGGUAGCGACUGUUUACUAAAAACACAGGUCCGUGCCAAGUCGCAAGACGAUGUAUACGGACUGACGCCUGCCCGGUGCUGGAAGGUUAAGAGGACGGGUUAGCUUCGGCGAAGCUCAGAAUUUAAGCCCCAGUAAACGGCGGUGGUAACUAUAACCAUCCUAAGGUAGCGAAAUUCCUUGUCGGGUAAGUUCCGACCUGCACGAAUGGCGUAACGACUUCCCAACUGUCUCAACCGCGAACUCGGCGAAAUUGCAUUACGAGUAAAGAUGCUCGUUACGCGCAGCAGGACGGAAAGACCCCGGGACCUUUACUAUAGCUUGGUAUUGGUGUUCGGUGCGGUUUGUGUAGGAUAGGUGGGAGACUGUGAAGCGGGCACGCCAGUGUUCGUGGAGUCGACGUUGAAAUACCACUCUGACCGCUUCGGAUGUCUAACCUCGGUCCGUGAUCCGGACCAGGGACAGUGCCUGGUGGGUAGUUUAACUGGGGCGGUUGCCUCCUAAAAUGUAACGGAGGCGCUCAAAGGUUCCCUCAGCCUGGUUGGCAAUCAGGUGGCGAGUGCAAGUGCACAAGGGAGCUUGACUGUGAGACUGACAGGUCGAGCAGGGACGAAAGUCGGAACUAGUGAUCCGGCGGUGGCUUGUGGAAGCGCCGUCGCUCAACGGAUAAAAGGUACCCCGGGGAUAACAGGCUGAUCUUGCCCAAGAGUCCAUAUCGACGGCAUGGUUUGGCACCUCGAUGUCGGCUCGUCGCAUCCUGGGGCUGGAGUAGGUCCCAAGGGUUGGGCUGUUCGCCCAUUAAAGCGGUACGCGAGCUGGGUUUAGAACGUCGUGAGACAGUUCGGUCCCUAUCCGCUGCGCGCGCAGGAAACUUGAGAAGGGCUGUCCCUAGUACGAGAGGACCGGGACGGACGAACCUCUGGUGUGCCAGUUGUUCCGCCAGGAGCACGGCUGGUUGGCUACGUUCGGAAGGGAUAACCGCUGAAAGCAUCUAAGCGGGAAGCCUGCUUCAAGAUGAGGUUUCCAUGCCCCCUCGAGGGGUGAGAGGCUCCCAGCUAGACCACUGGGUAGAUAGGCCGGACGUGGAAGACGGGACCAACGACCGUCGCAGCUGACCGGUACUAAUCAGCCGACCACUUCACCACAA